Molecule: long non-coding RNA, 186 nt
Organism: Sinocyclocheilus grahami
Lineage: Eukaryota; Metazoa; Chordata; Actinopteri; Cypriniformes; Cyprinidae
Exons: 3
Source: RefSeq, a predicted model, not a curated record
CACAAUAAGCUGGCAUCUGUACCCAAGGUUCUCAAUGGUAGAUAUCAAUGACUGAUAUUUUAAAGUCUUAGAGCAGUAAGAGUCCUCCAUCAACAAGUCAAAUGAACAUGAGACCUCAAAUAGUGUAACUGUUUUGCCAUUCUGAGAGAUGUUAACGAUAUCUGGUGGAUUGUAAUGUGAAAUCAA